RNAcentral lists this long non-coding RNA (2419 nucleotides) under Gallus gallus (chicken). RNAcentral describes it as "lncRNA (ENSGALG00010015503.1)". The record is from RNAcentral. Lineage: Eukaryota; Metazoa; Chordata; Aves; Galliformes; Phasianidae.
GAAACUGGGGUAAUGUGUUUAGAACUUCUCAGAAGUAUGCAUUUAAAAAUCUGUUAAAAAAAAAAUUUGAAGUUAUAUAAAGAAAACUUAUUGUAACUUACUUAGUGUACUUCAGUACCUAUUUCUCCCAGUUUCUAUUUAAUGCAUCAGGUGUAAUGACUCAAGAGUUUUCAAAGCAGCAGCUCCAUGUUGGGUAUUUUAGACAUAAUAAUCUACACAACUUUCCUAAGUGGAACCUGACCUUCUCUCAAGAGUAGACAGUAGUUGUUCUACAGUGUGCUUGAAAAUGAUUGAAAUUGUUUUAAGAAUCCUUUUUUUUUUUUUGCUGAAUUUCUCUAUUUAAAUGCUAUGAACAAGUGUCUGGCUUUAGAUUAAUGAGUUAUUAAAUACAUUUUUGUAUCAAGUAACAGUAAUCUUGCUAGCAAAAUAGAUCUUGCAUAGCCACAGAACUUCUCAAUUUCUAUCAUACUGUAAUUACAAGUUGCACUUCUAAUGACUUCAGUCAAUUGGAAUGAGAAAGAAAUGUCAUGUCCAGGGCUCUUGUGUAGAGUUACAGCUGUCAAGAAUCUAACCUGGAGAGCAGAGAAUAGAAGGGGUUGUGUUUCAAAGGACCAUGGAAUCAUUAGAAUUCUUGGAGUUGGAAGGGAUCUUUAAAGGUCGUCUUGUCCAACUCUCCUCCACAAUGAACAUGGACACCACAGCUAGAUCAGGUUGCCCUGGGCCUGAUCUGGUCUUACCUUCGAAGUCUCCAGGGACAGAGCAUUCACAGCAUGUCUGGGUAACCUGUCUCAGUGCCUCACCACCAUCACUGUAAAAGACCUUUCUUAUAUCCAACUACUGAAAUCUACCCCCUUUACUCCUGAAACAAUUUACCCUUAUUUUAUCAGAACGGUUUCCAAUUUAAAGAAAAAUUUCUUGUCUCUGCUCCUAUAUAGCUCAUUUCUUUGUAAUUUCAAAGCCUUAAGUAUUAAUCAUAUCUCUAUUUGGUUGGAGUUACACAACUAAUUUCUGAAAUCUGAGCAGAGAUCACAUGUGUAUCCAGAAGGAAAUGUCUGCAUUAGGUAUUGUUUUGCUCAGAAAUGGAGCUAUUCCGUCUCUGCUCUGCAGCUACCUUUGUUUUGAAAUUCAGGGUUAAAAACCCACGCUGAACAAUGGAGGAAAAAGAAACCCACAAUCUGAUGCGUAAGAAACUGUGAAAUAAAGGCAUUUGUUAUAAAGUUGUUAUAAAGGCAUUAAUAUUGCCCUUGGAGUUAAUUAAGAAAAUUCUGUGAAUAAUUACACACCUUUUUCAGCAAUAUCCUUCAAAUCAGAGAUGGUUUCUUGUUUAUUUUUCUUUUUAAGAAUACUCUCUGAAGCAUAGGAAUACAGCAAAUAGUUUUUCCUCCACUACUGUACAUUGGCUUUCACUUUUUUCACUACGAUAUGCAGAUAUGAAAUGCAGCUAAUGCUUGCUCUGAAAGGGACGGCUCAAUAAUAUCUGAGAAAUUUACUGGCUCCAGAUGUUCUUUGCAACAACAUUAUUUCUCCUGCCUAGGGGAAAAAAAAAACAAGGAAUGAUCCAGAGGAACCGUUGUUCUUCAGAUUUUCAGUUGUUCAAUAUGAUAUGUAAUAUGAAUGGCCCCUUCUAAGGGCUCACUAAAAUAAGGAAUAGCCUUGCACAGAAGAGUUGCUGAUUAUUAUUUGAAUGAAAGCCAAGUCACAGAGGAAAAGAAAUCUAGUUAGAUAAAAUAAUUUAGAGAUUAGUACUUUUCUACAUGUACGCUCUGCUUUAAGGAUAGAAUACAUUUUGAGAAUCAUGUUUCUAGCAGAAGCCUAUGACUUUAUCAGAAUGGUUCCAAUUCUGCUCAUGUCAGAUCUUUCUACAACACUGCUGUCUGGAAACUAUAUUUGUUUUGUACAGCAAGCUAGCUUAAAAAGGCCUUUUUCAUUCCCAAGGAUCAAUAUGAGCUACUUGGUUCUUUGUAGAAUUUUUUAUGAAGUAUUCCUAACCAAGGGCUUCAAAGUACCUCUAAUUUAAACUGCUGACUUGCAACUGCGCUUGUUUUACUCGGGAAUUUUUCCUUUUUCUAACACUAUUUUUGUAGCAAAGUAAAUCUGUUCUUUCUGGAAAUAGCUGUUUAAACUUGCAGUUCUGUGCAGUUCUUCUCUUUUGCUACAUUUAAGUUAAAUCUGUAAUGUUUAUUUUGGAAAUGAGUACACAGACCUAAGCACUAUUUUUGAUGGUUAUUGAUAUCAACUUUCUUCAAACCUGAAUCAUUAAAGCCACUCCUACUUACGUUCCUUUUCCCCCUAUUAUUGUUUCUAUAAUGCUUUUUUCUUGCCAUAUGAGAAAAAUAAACAGGCAACAGAACCUCUGUUCUGCUGUUCAUAUGCUGAAUAUAUACAGUCUUUAGUCAUUAUGACUGGGAAAUAAAAUCCA